UCUUAAUCCUUGCCCUCGCCGCUGCCUCGAGAUUGAGCAGGCGGCGCGGUGGUUCCUUUUUCGAAGUUAGCUAAUGCCUCUGGCCCGCAAAAUCGUGUCAAUUCUUCCUUGAUGGAAGUAUUUUCUGAUGUUAGCUUUUCGCAUUCCUCGGAGAGCCUUUGUAACUCAUCCCUAAGAGUACGGUUCUCGUUGUUCAAUGUCUGCACUCUUGCCUGCAGCUCUUCACACUCCGCCUGCUUACGUAAUCUCGACCUCCUGGCAGACUCUCGGUUAGAUUGCUUCCUUUUCUGUCUUUUUAGCUCGCG
RNAcentral lists this unclassified non-coding RNA (305 nucleotides) under Hevea brasiliensis (rubber tree). The record is from RNAcentral. Lineage: Eukaryota; Viridiplantae; Streptophyta; Magnoliopsida; Malpighiales; Euphorbiaceae.